CCAGCGUUGGUGUAGUCCGGCCAAUCAUGCGGUCCAGGCCAGCCGAUGACCUGGGUUCAAAUCCCAGACGGAGCA
RNAcentral lists this transfer RNA (75 nucleotides) under Natrinema thermotolerans. RNAcentral's name for it is "tRNA-Ala". Lineage: Archaea; Methanobacteriati; Methanobacteriota; Halobacteria; Halobacteriales; Natrialbaceae. The record is from RNAcentral.